This 923-nucleotide ribosomal RNA is filed under the name uncultured bacterium. Its description in RNAcentral is "bacterial SSU rRNA". It matches the Rfam family "Bacterial small subunit ribosomal RNA", at positions 8 to 923 of the family's 1533-position model. The record is from RNAcentral.
AGAGUUUGAUCCUGGCUCAGGAUGAACGCUAGCUACAGGCUUAACACAUGCAAGUCGAGGGGCAGCGGGAUUGAAGCUUGCUUCAAUUGCCGGCGACCGGCGCACGGGUGAGUAACGCGUAUCCAACCUUCCGUACACUCAGGGAUAGCCUUUCGAAAGAAAGAUUAAUACCUGAUGGUAUGAUGAGAUUGCAUGAUAGCAUCAUUAAAGAUUUAUCGGUGUACGAUGGGGAUGCGUUCCAUUAGGUAGUAGGCGGGGUAACGGCCCACCUAGCCAACGAUGGAUAGGGGUUCUGAGAGGAAGGUCCCCCACAUUGGAACUGAGACACGGUCCAAACUCCUACGGGAGGCAGCAGUGAGGAAUAUUGGUCAAUGGGCGCUAGCCUGAACCAGCCAAGUAGCGUGAAGGAUGAGGGCUCUAUGGGUCGUAAACUUCUUUUAUAUAAGAAUAAAGUGCAGUAUGUAUACUGUUUUGUAUGUAUUAUAUGUAUAAGGAUCGGCUAACUCCGUGCCAGCAGCCGCGGUAAUACGGAGGAUCCGAGCGUUAUCCGGAUUUAUUGGGUUUAAAGGGAGCGUAGGUGGACUGGUAAGUCAGUUGUGAGAGUUUGUGGCUCAACCGUAAAAUUGCAGUUGAUACUGUCAGUCUUGAGUACAGUAGAGGUGGGCGGAAUUCGUGGUGUAGCGGUGAAAUGCUUAGAUAUCACGAAGAACUCCGAUUGCGAAGGCAGCUCACUAGACUGCAACUGACACUGAUGCUCGAAAGUGUGGGUAUCAAACAGGAUUAGAUACCCUGGUAGUCCACACAGUAAACGAUGAAUACUCGCUGUUUGCGAUAUACAGUAAGCGGCCAAGCGAAAGCAUUAAGUAUUCCACCUGGGGAGUACGCCGGCAACGGUGAAACUCAAAGGAAUUGACGGAAGGGCG